This 232-nucleotide long non-coding RNA is filed under the name Elaeis guineensis (African oil palm). RNAcentral describes it as "long non-coding RNA (EGUI_LNC016921)". The record is from RNAcentral. Lineage: Eukaryota; Viridiplantae; Streptophyta; Magnoliopsida; Arecales; Arecaceae.
GAGAUAAAUCCUAUACCAGGACAACCUUAUACCAGUUUGAUAUAAAUUUUUAAUCAUUCUAAUUUCAGAUCUAAACAUAAAAUAAGAUAUAUCACAUAUACUAAUUUUUAGAUCUAAAAAAUUAAUAUAAUUAUUUUAAAAAUAAUUUUUUAAAAUCGAUCAAUUUUAUGCUAGGACAAUCUUUACAAUAUAGAAGAUAAAUCCUACAUCAAGAUAACCUUAUAACAGCACA